RNAcentral lists this ribosomal RNA (117 nucleotides) under Myotis davidii. The record is from RNAcentral. Lineage: Eukaryota; Metazoa; Chordata; Mammalia; Chiroptera; Vespertilionidae.
GUCUACGGCCAUACCACCCUGAACACGCCCGAUCUUGUCUGAUCUCGGAAGCUAAGCAGGGUCGGCCUGGUUAUUACUUGGAUGGGAGACUACAAGAGAGAGUUGUGUUAGUAUCUA